RNAcentral lists this ribosomal RNA (253 nucleotides) under uncultured bacterium. RNAcentral's name for it is "partial 16S ribosomal RNA". It matches the Rfam family "Bacterial small subunit ribosomal RNA", at positions 524 to 776 of the family's 1533-position model. The record is from RNAcentral.
UACGAAGGGUGCAAACGUUGCUCGGAAUUAUUGGGCGUAAAGCGCACGUAGGCGGCUUUGCAAGUCGGAUGUGAAAUCCCUCGGCUCAACCGAGGACGUGCAUCCGAAACUGCGGAGCUUGAGUAUGGAAGAGGGUCGCGGAAUUCCCGGUGUAGUGGUGGAAUGCGUAGAUAUCGGGAGGAACACCAGUGGCGAAGGCGGUUGCCUGGGGCUUUGCUGACGCUGAUGCGCGAAAGCGUGGGGAGCGAUCCGG